RNAcentral lists this ribosomal RNA (234 nucleotides) under uncultured bacterium. RNAcentral's name for it is "partial 16S ribosomal RNA". It matches the Rfam family "Bacterial small subunit ribosomal RNA", at positions 118 to 350 of the family's 1533-position model. The record is from RNAcentral.
UGGGCAACCUGCCCCUCUCUCUGGGAUAACCCCCGGGGAAACCGGAGCUAAUACCGGAUACUCCGGCUGGAUCGCAUGGUCCGGCCGGGAAAGGUCCGCCGGUCGGGGAUGGGCCCGCGGCCUAUCAGCUUGUUGGUGGGGUAACGGCCUACCAAGGCAUCGACGGGUAGCUGGUCUGAGAGGACGACCAGCCACACUGGGACUGAGACACGGCCCAGACUCCUACGGGAGGCA